ACAAGCGAGCAGCCACAGCUUCAGUCGUUCAGGAUCAUUGAUAGGGAAUCUGUGAAAAGUUAGUCUUUCCUCUUGCGAUGAUGCCCGCGGACGUAAUCUAACGAUUUUCACUAGGUUGAGGCAUCCAGGAUAAGCACAAUGAGAUUGGGGAGAGUGGCAUAAAAGGACCAUGCCAGCGCCAGAUCGAGAGAGAGAGACUGGGUCAAGAACUUUACUGUGAAGCUGAUGAGUUAUUGUGAAGCUAUAAACCAGAGAAGUGGUCAAUUAAAAGUUCCCUACCUGUGUUUGAAGAAUCCAGUUCCCGGUGUCCUUCCUUGUUACACUGGUGCCGAAACCCGGGAUCUGAUUUGAAGACUGUACGCUCCAUGGAGUCCUUCCCGCUGACCGACAUCAUCAAGUCCCUUGCCGACCUACAUCACACCCACCAACAGGCUCUGCUUGAACUCCACCAAAAUCAGGAAUGCCGCUUCUAUGAGGUCCUUAGAGUUCAGGCAGAGGACCGGCAGGUCAUUCGGAGCCUCCUCACCCAGGAGAAAGCCCCGGCAGUGACCUCGGACAACAGCAGCCCCCUGCCCCCGCUGUUGAAGAUGGGGGCGGAAGACAACCCUGAAGCCUUCCUUGACAUAUUUGAGCAAACCGCUGAAAUCUGGGGCUGGCCGCAUGCUCAGUGGGUAGCCCGGCUUAUCCCUCUGCUGUCAGGGGAAGCCCAGCUUGCAGCACAACAUCUGCCGGCGGCCAAUCUUCUGGUCUAUGGCGAUCUGAGGAAGACCAUCCUGCAGCGGGUCGGCCGGAGCCCAGAGCAAUUCCGUCAACUGUUCCGCUUGAUGAAGUUGGAAGGAGCCGGUCACCCGUUUGCCUUUUCUCAGCGGCUCCGUGAUGCCUGCCGGAACUGUCUGCGGGCGGGGGACCGCGACGUCGAGGGAGUGGUCGACUAAGUGGUGCUGGAACAGCUGAUUCAUCGGCUUCCUGAAGGGAUGGCGGAGUGGGUCCAGUGCCAUCGCCUGGCGUUGCUGGAGGAAGCGGUCUAGCUGGCGGAGGACCAUAUGGUGGUGUGCCCAAGCGUGGAGGAGCCCUCCCUCUCUCUCUCCCCUCCCCCUGUGUUUUCUCCCAUCUCUUCCCACUCCCCUCUCCCCUCUCACUCUGUCCUCUCUCCAGGCCCUGUUCCUGCACUCCGGAGGCAUGGAAACCCACCACCGAAGCCGGCUCCUUGCUUGCGCCGGUUUAUCCCUUUCCUGGCAACUUCAGGGUCUACCCGCUCUCCCCCUCAGGCAGAUGUACCCGCCCCCACAAGUGCGAGUGUAGCACCUGGACCUGCCUGCUGGUGUUGCAGGGAUCCAGAACACUUCCGGGAUCAGUGUCCUGUGAUGGACCUGGGAACUGUAGUCCAGAUCCCCGACGCACCACGGGCUGCCCCCGAUCGGGCUGGAGGGUACAGGAUACCGAUGGACGCUUCAGACAGGGGGCUGGUGGCCAUACUCUCACAGGUGGUGGAGGGGGAGGAGCGCCCAGUGCUGUACAUCAGCCGCAAGCUCUCCUUGAGGGAAACUAAGUACAGCACCGUAGAAAAGGAGUGUCUGGCCAUCAAGUGGGCAGUCCUCACUCUCUGUUACUGCCUGCUGGGGCGGGCCUUCACUCUCUGCUCAGAUCACGGCCCACUCCAAUGGCUCCAUCGCAUGAAGAAUACCAAUGCGCGGAUCACCCGGUGGUAUCUGGCACUCCAGCCCUUUAAAUUCAAGGUGGUCCACAGGCCGGGAACGCAGAUGGCUGUCGUCGACUUCCUGUCCAGAAAUGGGGGGGGGGAGUGGUAGGCAGUCCGGAUGUCUCCCCAGCCUGAGUCGGGCGGUGGGGAUAUGUGGCAGCGGGGGCGUGGUCGAGCGUCCAUCGAGAGAGAGAGAAAGCGCCUGUACAGGAGAGUAAUGCAAGCCUUUUGGUGGAGGACAGAGCAGAAGAAGCCAUCCAGACAAUAUUCUGUGAUGAUAAUGAUGAGAGGGGCUGGUCUGAAAAUCAGGAAGGCUUGUUGCAGACAUCAACUGAUCAACCUGAAAUGCCACGAGAGAAAGAGUCCUUUGAAUGUGAGCAGUGUGGAAAGGUCUUUCCAAAGAUGCAUGGUCUUGCACACCACAAGCAUGUACAUUCAAGCAUAAAGCGACACAGUUGUGAAAAGUGCGGGAAGAAGUUCAAACAGUUCAGAGCGCUAGAGACUCAUCUCCGUACACAUAUGCCGAAGAAUGAGAAGAAGAAAUUCCCCUGUAGUACCUGUGGAAAAAGCUUUAAACAUCUUACAUUACAUCAACUGGUUCAUGCUGAAGUCAGGCCUUUUACUUGUGAUAUAUGUGGACAAGGAUUUACAGUCAAAGGAAAUUUAAACAAGCACCAAAGGGUGCAUACGGGCGAAAAGCCAUAUGAAUGUGAGACGUGUGGAAAAUGUUUCGCCGAAAUGGGGACCCUAAACAUGCACAAGAAAUUUCAUUCAAGUGACAGGCCGAUAAAAUGCAGCUACUGCAAUAAGAGUUUCAAGAGCCGCAAUCAUUUGCAACGGCACCUCCCUGUGCACACAGGUGAGAGGCGACAUGCAUGUCAAUUCUGUGGAAAAAAAUUUGCACAACACGAGGCUAUGAGACGCCACAUACUCAUUCACACCGGUGAAAAGCCGUACAUCUGUGAGGUGUGUGGUGUUCGAUUCAGACAGAGAAGCAAUUUGAAAAUUCAUUUGCGGAUGCAUGGAAAUGCGCAGUUUACGUGUGAAGUGUGUGGAAAAACAUUCCAGCAUGAUUUUUUGCUACAGGAUCACAUUCUAACACACAAUCAGACUGGAAAUUCAUCAGAUAAGAAAGUUGCUUAUGGCUGUGAUGUGUGUGGGAAGUUUCUGAGCUCUGCCUAUGGGUUGAAAAUUCAUCUGCAACUUCAUUCAUAUAACUGCAAACCUUUUCCUUGCAAGUUAUGCGAGAGGAGGUACAACAGCGCAUAUAGCCUUCGGAUACAUGAGCAGCUUCAUACAGGAGAGAAACCUUUCAAAUGUGAGAUAUGUGGAAAGGGCUUUGUACGCAAGGGGUCCUAUAAAACCCAUGUGUUUAGCCAUUCAGGAGAAAGACCUCACAAAUGCAUAGUGUGUGGGAAAACAUUUAAAUGGUCCACCUCUCUGAAAAUCCAUAAACUUAUUCAUACUGAUAAAAAACCUCACAAGUGUGAGACAUGUGGAAAGUCCUUUCAGUUAUCUGGAAACUUAAAGCGACACAUGUGUGUUCACUCUGCGGAGGAGCCAUUCAGCUGUGAGGUCUGUGGGGAAAGGUUUGUAAAACUCAGUAAUAUGAAGGAACAUAUGCAAAUCCACACUGGGGUGAAGCCCUACACUUGUCAGACAUGUGGGAAGACUUAUGCAUAUCUUCGACACUACAAUGAUCACAAAUGUAAACCUGCAUGAAAAAAAAAAUAUUUGAAGCAUAGUAGGAAAUUGAAUUGCAUUACCCCUUUCUUAUUGCUGUUUUAUCUUAACAUUUCUAGUUAGUCCUAAAGCUUUAAACAGUUAAAUCGAUGUGGCCAAAAUCAUAUGAGUAAUUUGUAUUGUAAUGAAUGAUCUGUUAAAAAGAGCUACACUCACUGAGCACUUUAUAAGGAACACCUGUACAGCUACUUAUUCAUGCAAUUAUCUAAUCAGCCAAUCGUGUUGCAGCAGUGCAGUGCUUCAGUUUAUGUUCACAUCAACCAUCAGUAUGGGGAAAAAAUGUGAUCUCAGUCAUUUAGACCUUGGCAUGAUUGUUGGUGCCAGAUGGGCUGGUUUGAGCAUUUCUGUAACUGCUGAUCUCCUGGGAUUUUCACACACAACAGUCUCUAGAGGUUACUUAGAAUGGUGCCAAAAACAAAAAACAUCCAGUGAGUGGCAGUUCUGCGGACGGAAAUACCUUAUUGAUGAGAAAGGUCAAUGGAGAACGACCAGACUGGUUCGAGCUGACAGAAAGGCUACGGUAACUCGGAUAACCACUCUGUACAGUUGUAGUGAGCAGAAUAGCAUCUCAGAAUGCACAACAUUUCAAACCUUGGGGCCUAUUAGUGUUCCUUUUAAAGUGCUCAGUGAGUGUAUAUUGUGCUAUUAUCUGUCAUAAGCACUUCUUGUAAUUAGGAAUGCUGUCUGAGGGAAUAAAACCUUCAUGGCACUUUUUAAUGACCUUUCGUUUGCAAACUGUAAUCAGUAGUCAGACUGGACUCUGCAUCCUUUGAUAGACUUAAUACCCAAUAAAAAAAUAUAUAUUUUCUAAAUU
Myxocyprinus asiaticus (Chinese sucker) is the source of this 4256-nucleotide RNA transcript. It is a transcript of the gene named zinc finger protein 226-like, with no coding region annotated. The transcript has 5 exons. Lineage: Eukaryota; Metazoa; Chordata; Actinopteri; Cypriniformes; Catostomidae. The record is from RefSeq and is a predicted model, not a curated record.